Non-coding RNA from Camellia sinensis, 147 nucleotides. NCBI's taxonomy places the organism in Eukaryota, Viridiplantae, Streptophyta, Magnoliopsida, Ericales, Theaceae. The record is from RefSeq and is a predicted model, not a curated record.
CUAUAUAAUUUAUUCUCAACUUUUUCUAACAUUAUUGAUAGGCAUUUGCUCGUUUGAGUGCCAUCUAUGGUGGAACUUACAUGCUCAACAAGCCAAAAUACAAGGGCUAAAGGCAGCACCAAGUGAGUGAUUCUUUCAACUGGAGAG